UACAGAGGUCCCAAGCGUUGUUCGGAUUCACUGGGCGUAAAGAGUGCGUAGGCGGUCGGGUAAGUCUGGCGUGAAAUCUCCAAGCCUAACUUGGAAACUGCGUUGGAUACUAUCCGGCUCGAGGAAUGGAGGGGAGACUGGAAUACUUGGUGUAGCAGUGAAAUGCGUAGAUAUCAAGUGGAACACCAGUGGCGAAGGCGAGUCUCUGGACAUUUCCUGACGCUGAGGCACGAAAGCCAGGGGAGCAAACGGG
Molecule: ribosomal RNA, 253 nt
Filed under: uncultured bacterium
Lineage: Bacteria
Description: partial 16S ribosomal RNA
Rfam family: Bacterial small subunit ribosomal RNA
Source: RNAcentral